GGAGAUUUAGCUCAGUGGUAGAGCGUUUGCCUAGCAAGCACAAGGCCCUGGGUUUGGCCCUAAGCUCUG
RNAcentral lists this transfer RNA (69 nucleotides) under Rattus norvegicus (Norway rat). It matches the Rfam family "tRNA". From Rfam's summary of the family: Transfer RNA (tRNA) molecules are approximately 80 nucleotides in length. Lineage: Eukaryota; Metazoa; Chordata; Mammalia; Rodentia; Muridae. The record is from Rfam by way of RNAcentral.